This 253-nucleotide ribosomal RNA is filed under the name uncultured bacterium. RNAcentral's name for it is "partial 16S ribosomal RNA". It matches the Rfam family "Bacterial small subunit ribosomal RNA", at positions 524 to 776 of the family's 1533-position model. The record is from RNAcentral.
UACGAAGGGGGCUAGCGUUGCUCGGAAUUACUGGGCGUAAAGCGCACGUAGGCGGCUCUUUAAGUCGGAGGUGAAAUCCUGGAGCUCAACUCCAGAACUGCCUUCGAUACUGAAGAGCUCGAGUCCGGGAGAGGUGAGUGGAACUGCGAGUGUAGAGGUGAAAUUCGUAGAUAUUCGCAAGAACACCAGUGGCGAAGGCGGCUCACUGGCCCGAUACUGACGCUGAGGUGCGAAAGCGUGGGGAGCAAACAGG